CCUACGGGGUGCAGCAGUGAGGAAUAUUGGUCAAUGGGCGAGAGCCUGAACCAGCCAAGUCGCGUGAAGGAUGACGGCCCUACGGGUUGUAAACUUCUUUUGUCAGGGAGCAAUUUGGUCCACGCGUGGGCUUAGCGAGAGUACCUGAAGAAAAAGUAUCGGCUAACUCCGUGCCAGCAGCCGCGGUAGUACGGGGGAUGCGAGCGUUAUCAGGAUUUAUGGGGGUUAAAGGGUGCGUAGGCGGAAUAUCAAGUCAGCGGUAAAGAUUCGGGGCUCAACCCCGUCGUGCCGUUGAAACUGAUGUUCUUGAGUGGGCGAGAAGUAUGCGGAAUGCGUGGUGUAGCAGUGAAAUGCAUAGAUAUCACGCAGAACUCCGAUUGCGAAGGCAGCAUACCGGCGCCCAACUGACGCUGAAGCACGAAAGCGUGGGUAUCGAACAGGAUUAGAUACCCUUGUAGUC
This 460-nucleotide ribosomal RNA is filed under the name uncultured bacterium. RNAcentral's name for it is "partial 16S ribosomal RNA". It matches the Rfam family "Bacterial small subunit ribosomal RNA", at positions 338 to 795 of the family's 1533-position model. The record is from RNAcentral.